AUGUUAUGCUCGCGAGCUGCAGAUGAGGCAGAGGAGUCCAGGGCGGAGGCAGAGAAGAGCAGGGCUGUGGCUGAGGCUCGGGCCCUGGGCUUUCAGCGGGACAAGGAUGCAGCUGAGGCUGACAGGGGACGACUGAGUGAAGAGCUGCAGAAGCUUAAAAAGGAGCACGCGAACGUGCAGCUUUUACUGGCACAAACAGAGAAGAACUACUUUGAAAGUAAGCUGAAGUUGGAUCGUGUGUCUGGAGAGAAACAGGCCCUCCUGCAGGAGAGCAGGAGCCUGGAGGCAGACAGAGAUGACCUCCGACACAAGCUGAGGAAGAUCACCCAAGAAAAUGUCCAAAUUAAAGAGAGUGAGAUGAACUGGAAACGCAGAGCGACUGAAUCAGAAGAGGAGAGCAAAAGAGCUAACCAGGCUCGGCGGGAAGUCGAGGCAGAGAGGCAUCUGGCUGAGAAGGAGAGGCAGGAGAGAGUGGCCGAGUGCCUGAGCUGGAGGGAGAAGUACCAGGAGCUGGCUGACAUGUUUCAAGCUCAGGAAGACCUGAAGGCUCUGAGGCAGAAUAAAGCAUGUCAAGCCCACAUCAAAAGCUACUUCCUGUGCAUGACUGAAAGCGACCAGAGGGUUAAAAUCCUCAAAAAUCCAGAUGGCACUCCGAGAAAUUUCACAGAAGGAGAUCCUGUAUACAUCUCCACUCCAGAGUCCAGCGUUGAAGAGCCUGAAAGGAGUUCAUCUAGGUAAACAAAAACUGUGGCCACCAGGGGGAAGCCACACAAACUACAAUCGUUCAGACAUGGUAGCAACAUAAGAUUAAAAUUCUAAUUUACAAAGAAAAAGGUAAGUGUAAAGCUUUUCUCUGGCUGAAGACCACUAUUGAGAAUUAAUUGUGAACUGUAUUUACUCAGGACCAUGCUCAGGGUGACAGCUCCACACAUGGGGAGAGAUCUGGGUCCGAGUCACUUUGAUGAGCUGCCUGCCUAUGGAGGAGAGCGACCCGACUCAGGCCCUCUGCGCAGAAGCAGGAAGGUGGUGGAAUACUUUUGGAUUCCCACAGAUCAGGACUGACCACGAAUAUAACCAAAUGCUCCUGGGCACUUCACUGCAGUAGAGCUGCUGCUUGGAAGAUUCAAACUGUUGUUCAUGUGUGAAGUAUUUUACUGGACAGAUGGAAUAUGUAACCGUAAAGCAGAGUAAAUACAGGUAAACAGUAGGUGCUCAUGUACUGACUUUAUUGACAUUAAAGCAAUAGAGGUGCACAAUAAUUCUGAAUACCUUACAAUAAGACCCUAAUUGUAUGUCUUAUACAUAAUCAUGGCUUGAGAGUACAAUUCUUGGUUAAGCCUGAUGGUCAUUUGUUUAGCUUUGGGAGAAGGGAAAUCAAUUACAAUUUAUAGUUUGCCAAUUUAAAGAGCCACACAAAUGUAACAUUUUUUAUUAUUUUAAGACCUCAAUAUAAAAACCAACCUCAUCAGGGCCGCUUCAAAAUCUAGUCAACAUUACUCUUUUGAUAACUACACAUU
RNAcentral lists this long non-coding RNA (1517 nucleotides) under Oreochromis niloticus (Nile tilapia). Its description in RNAcentral is "lncRNA (ENSONIG00000029515.1)". Lineage: Eukaryota; Metazoa; Chordata; Actinopteri; Cichliformes; Cichlidae. The record is from RNAcentral.